Molecule: ribosomal RNA, 492 nt
Filed under: uncultured bacterium
Lineage: Bacteria
Description: partial 16S ribosomal RNA
Rfam family: Bacterial small subunit ribosomal RNA
Source: RNAcentral
AGUGAACGCUGGCGGUAGGCCUAACACAUGCAAGUCGAACGGCAGCACAGUAAGAGCUUGCUCUUACGGGUGGCGAGUGGCGGACGGGUGAGGAAUACAUCGGAAUCUACUUUUUCGUGGGGGAUAACGUAGGGAAACUUACGCUAAUACCGCAUACGACCUACGGGUGAAAGCAGGGGAUCUUCGGACCUUGCGCGAUUGAAUGAGCCGACGUCGGAUUAGCUAGUUGGCGGGGUAAAGGCCCACCAAGGCGACGAUCCGUAGCUGGUCUGAGAGGAUGAUCAGCCACACUGGAACUGAGACACGGUCCAGGCUCCUACGGGAGGCAGCAGUGGGGAAUAUUGGACAAUGGGCGCAAGCCUGAUCCAGCCAUACCGCGUGGGUGAAGAAGGCCUUCGGGUUGUAAAGCCCUUUUGUUGGGAAAGAAAAGCAGCAGGUUAAUACCCCGCUGUUCUGACGGUACCCAAAGAAUAAGCACCGGCUAACUUCGUG